UCCGAACACCUCCUACAUGCCCUACUCC
Molecule: small RNA, 28 nt
Filed under: Bombyx mori (domestic silkworm)
Lineage: Eukaryota; Metazoa; Arthropoda; Insecta; Lepidoptera; Bombycidae
Description: ovarian small RNA-3362
Source: RNAcentral